CCCCUAUGUAUAUUCUCUUUCGCUUCAUUGUAAAAGGGGGAAAUUUUUUUCGGUGACAGAAAACUUUACUUGGUGAAUAGUUGAAAUUUGAGAGGAAAAUAUAGUAAACUAUCAGCUGCAAUUAUUUGAGGAUAAGUUCUCAGAAGCAAAAAUAAAAAAAAAAGUGAGAGUUUAGGCCUUGUUUGAGUGCCUUGCUUGUUUCUUCGUUCACCGGGGUUUUCUUUGAGUCGUCGGAAGUUGGCGCUUUCAAAGCUGGUUAGAUAUCCCUGUUUUGCUCGUUUGACUAUCGACUGUGUGAGUUGCUUGUGUUAAUUUUUUACUCACUAUUAGCUGCAAAGCAGUAACCAAUCUGCCUAUUAGCCCAUGAGGUUGUGUGUUUACGUCCUCGUUGAAAUUUUGAUGUUUCAUUUGGCCCCGAACCCUUGCUUGUGCACUACUUUAAUCUUCUUAUUUCCUUACUGUCUCAACUAGUUACUUGUGAAGGCUAUGGAUCAGUAAUGAUUUCAUGAUCUACAUUUCAAAAAUGUGUGUCUCUGUUGUUUACUUUGGUCUAGUUGAUAUUUUCUAAGGAGGUCAAAACCAUGCUUAUUUGUCGUUAAUUCGAUUCCUUUGGCUACAUUUUCGUAUUUGAUGCUUAGAGGCUGAAUGAAUUUGAAACAUCUCUGUAAAUUCGUGUAAGUUCAGUUUGUUUGAGAUCAUUCUUCAUUUUGAUAGGAACUUUGUUCGAGUCGGGAUUAACUCUGUUUUGCUCGAAAGUUGCUUAUUAUUUGUAGUCAGCUCCUUGAAAUAUCGUGAAACUUAUCCGAAAUGGACAUUUGUUUCCCUCUUCUGUUUGUCUUGGUUCAAUUUGCUCUAUAAGUAUGUUGGCCAGCUCUAGUGCUCGAUUAGAAGCUCUUAAAAUGGCAUACUGUCAUCCCUAGAUUAGAAAUCGCAACUUCGGUUUGGAUCAUAAGUAUCUAUUAAUUGUUUGAUAUAUUGAGGCGUAGAAACCUUUUUUGGAGGAUGUUGUCAGUUAAAAUACCAAUAGUUUUCCAACCUUUGGUCUACAUUUGAAGAUACCUAUCUUAGUUUUAGUUGCCAUCUUUCUCGGCUACUUAUAUGGUGUCUUUGCUUAAUAAUGAUCUCCUUGCAUUCUAUACUUUAUUUCAUGUCUAUUUGCAUUUAUGCAUAACAUGUUCGCUCGGAGGAAUAAACUCCUUUGGUUUUGAUUAUUCAUAGUCAUAUUUUACUUCCUUUUAUAAUGGUUUGGGAAAGAAAAAAAAAAGAUCUUACUAGUUUUCUCUUUGUUUAAAAGGUUGGAUUUAGCAAUGUCAGAUCUCACCGAAUGAAUUAUCUUGACUUUGGCAUGAGGUGUUCCAUUGGAAUAAAUAUGCAGCAUGUUUUCUGUUAAUACAUUUGAGUUGAAUUAUCUAUAUGUUCCCUGAACAUGGUAUGUUCUUAAGUAUGCAUACACGCACAAUACAUGCUACUGUCUAGAGAGUUUUUUAUUUUUUUAAAGAUUUUGUUUGUGCUAUUCACUUGGUCUUCCUUAGAGUCAUGUAUUUUAGCCUCAUUCAAAUCCCUUAAGUAGCUUUCCUUUAUUUUUAAAAGUAAUAUCUGCUUUCUUUUAAUAUAUAUCUUGUUUCUUAUAUUAUUUCAUAUGCUAACCCAUUUCUAUUUUAUCGCAUGUAAAAA
This 1674-nucleotide unclassified non-coding RNA is filed under the name Hevea brasiliensis (rubber tree). Lineage: Eukaryota; Viridiplantae; Streptophyta; Magnoliopsida; Malpighiales; Euphorbiaceae. The record is from RNAcentral.